This 416-nucleotide ribosomal RNA is filed under the name uncultured bacterium. Its description in RNAcentral is "bacterial SSU rRNA". It matches the Rfam family "Bacterial small subunit ribosomal RNA", at positions 360 to 773 of the family's 1533-position model. The record is from RNAcentral.
AAUAUUGGUCAAUGGGCGGAAGCCUGAACCAGCCAUGCCGCGUGAAGGAAUAAGGCCCUAUGGGUCGUAAACUUCUUUUGUGGUGGAGCAAUAAGGGCUACGUGUAGUCCGAUGAGAAUACAUUACGAAUAAGCAUCGGCUAACUCCGUGCCAGCAGCCGCGGUAAUACGGAGGAUGCAAGCGUUAUCCGGAUUUAUUGGGUUUAAAGGGUGCGUAGGCUGUUUGUCAAGUCAGCGGUGAAAUACCGGAGCUCAACUCCGGAACUGCCGUUGAUACUGAUGAGCUGGAAUACGGAUGCCGUGGGAGGAAUGAGUAGUGUAGCGGUGAAAUGCAUAGAUAUUACUCAGAACACCGAUUGCGAAGGCAUCUCACGAAUCCGUCAUUGACGCUGAGGCACGAAAGCGUGGGGAUCAAAC